Molecule: long non-coding RNA, 162 nt
Organism: Dendronephthya gigantea
Lineage: Eukaryota; Metazoa; Cnidaria; Anthozoa; Malacalcyonacea; Nephtheidae
Exons: 3
Source: RefSeq, a predicted model, not a curated record
CUAUUUUGCCAAUUAGUCCACCAAAUUCCUGUCCAGUAACACCGACCCCAAAUGAAGCAGUAAAACAGCCAGAAUUUAGACAGAAUUUUCUCACAGAUGCACCAGAGUUGGAACAUUAUCUGAGACAAACCAAUCCUCUACAAGGGAAAGAGAUAAAGCGGA